UACAGAGGGUGCGAGCGUUUGUCCGGAAUCACUGGGCGUAAAGGGCGCGUAGGUGGCGCGACAAGUCAGUGGUGAAAGUUCGACGCUCAACGUCGAAUCGGCCACUGAUACUGUUGGGCUUGAGCACUGUAGAGGCUAAUGGAAUUCCGGGUGUAGCGGUGGAAUGCGCAGAUAUCAGGAGGAACACCGAUGGCGAAGGCAGGUCUCUGGGCCACUACUGACGCUGAGAAGCGAAAAGCAUGGGGGAGCGAACAGG
This 256-nucleotide ribosomal RNA is filed under the name uncultured bacterium. RNAcentral's name for it is "partial 16S ribosomal RNA". It matches the Rfam family "Bacterial small subunit ribosomal RNA", at positions 524 to 776 of the family's 1533-position model. The record is from RNAcentral.